CCUACGGGUGGCAGCAGUGAGGAAUAUUGGUCAAUGGGCGCGAGCCUGAACCAGCCAAGUCGCGUGAAGGAUGACUGCCCUACGGGUUGUAAACUUCUUUUGUAAAGGAAUAAAGUGAGGCACGUGUGCCUUUUUGAAAGUACCUGAUGAAUAAGGAUCGGCUAACUCCGUGCCAGCAGCCGCGGUAAUACGGAGGAUGCGAGCGUUAUCCGGAUUUAUUGGGUUUAAAGGGAGCGUAGGUGGGUUGUUAAGUCAGUUGUGAAAGUUUGGGGCUCAACCGUAAAAUUGCAAUUGAUACUGGAUGUCUUGAGUACAGGAGAGGUAGGCGGAAUUCGUGGUGUAGCGGUGAAAUGCUUAGAUAUCACGAAGAACUCCGAUUGCGAAGGCAGCUUACUAACCCGCCACUGACGCUGAUGCUCGAAAGUGUGGGUAUCAAACAGGAUUAGAUACCCGAGUAGUC
Molecule: ribosomal RNA, 460 nt
Filed under: uncultured bacterium
Lineage: Bacteria
Description: partial 16S ribosomal RNA
Rfam family: Bacterial small subunit ribosomal RNA
Source: RNAcentral